RNAcentral lists this ribosomal RNA (253 nucleotides) under uncultured bacterium. RNAcentral describes it as "partial 16S ribosomal RNA". It matches the Rfam family "Bacterial small subunit ribosomal RNA", at positions 524 to 776 of the family's 1533-position model. The record is from RNAcentral.
UACAUGGGGUGCAAACGUUGCUCGGAAUUAUUGGGCGUAAAGCGCGCGUAGGCGGUUACUUAAGUCGGAUGUGAAAGCCCUCGGCUUAACUGAGGAAGUGCACCCGAAACUGAGUAGCUAGAGUACGAAAGAGGGUCGCGGAAUUCCCGGUGUAGAGGUGAAAUUCGUAGAUAUCUGGAGGAACACCGGUGGCGAAGGCGGCGUCCUGGACCAACACUGACACUGAUGAGCGAAAGCCAGGGGAGCAAACGGG